This 429-nucleotide ribosomal RNA is filed under the name bacterium. Its description in RNAcentral is "partial 16S ribosomal RNA". It matches the Rfam family "Bacterial small subunit ribosomal RNA", at positions 355 to 776 of the family's 1533-position model. The record is from RNAcentral.
UAGGGAAUCUUCGGCAAUGGGGGCAACCCUGACCGAGCAACGCCGCGUGAGUGAAGAAGGUUUUCGGAUCGUAAAGCUCUGUUGUAAGAGAAGAACGUGUGUGAGAGUGGAAAGUUCACACAGUGACGGUAACUUACCAGAAAGGGACGGCUAACUACGUGCCAGCAGCCGCGGUAAUACGUAGGUCCCGAGCGUUGUUCGGAUUUAUUGGGCGUAAAGCGAGCGCAGGCGGUUUAAUAAGUCUGAAGUUAAAGGCAGUGGCUUAACCAUUGUUAGCUUUGGAAACUGUUAAACUUGAGUGCAGAAGGGGAGAGUGGAAUUCCAUGUGUAGCGGUGAAAUGCGUAGAUAUAUGGAGGAACACCGGUGGCGAAAGCGGCUCUCUGGUCUGUAACUGACGCUGAGGCUCGAAAGCGUGGGGAGCAAACAGG